This 508-nucleotide ribosomal RNA is filed under the name uncultured Glomus. RNAcentral describes it as "SSU rRNA". It matches the Rfam family "Eukaryotic small subunit ribosomal RNA", at positions 569 to 1082 of the family's 1831-position model. The record is from RNAcentral. Lineage: Eukaryota; Fungi; Glomeromycota; Glomeromycetes; Glomerales; Glomeraceae.
AGCAGCCGCGGUAAUUCCAGCUCCAAUAGCGUAUAUUAAAGUUGUUGCAGUUAAAAAGCUCGUAGUUGAACUUCGGGAUCAAUUAGUUGGUCAUGCCUUGGUAUGUACUGAUUUUAUUGGUUCUCACCUUCUAAAGAACUAUAAUGUCAUUUAUUUGAUGUUGUAGGGAAUUAGGACUGUUACCUUGAAAAAUUAGAGUGUUUAAAGCAGGCUCACGCUUGAAUACAUUAGCAUGGAAUAAUGAAAUAGGACAUCGCAUUCUAUUUUGUUGGUUUCUAGGAUCGAUGUAAUGAUUAAUAGGGAUAGUUGGGGGCAUUAGUAUUCAAUUGUCAGAGGUGAAAUUCUUGGAUUUAUUGAAGACUAACUACUGCGAAAGCAUUUGCCAAGGAUGUUUUACAUUAAUCAAGAACGAAAGUUAGGGGAUCGAAGACGAUCAGGUACCGUCGUAGUCUUAACCAUAAACUAUGCCGACUAGGGAUCGGAUGAUGUUGUAUUUUUAAUGUACUCU